AUUGAACGCUGGCGGCAUGCCUUACACAUGCAAGUCGAACGGUAACGGGCCUUCGGGUGCCGACGAGUGGCGAACGGGUGAGUAAUACAUCGGAACGUGCCCGAUCGUGGGGGAUAACGAGGCGAAAGCUUUGCUAAUACCGCAUACGAUCUACGGAUGAAAGCAGGGGACCGCAAGGCCUUGCGCGGACGGAGCGGCCGAUGGCAGAUUAGGUAGUUGGUGGGAUAAAAGCUUACCAAGCCGACGAUCUGCAGCUGGUCUGAGAGGAUGAUCAGCCACACUGGGACUGAGACACGGCCCAGACUCCUACGGGAGGCAGCAGUGGGGAAUUUUGGACAAUGGGCGCAAGCCUGAUUCAGCCAUGCCGCGUGCAGGAUGAAGGCCUUCGGGUUGUAAACUGCUUUUGUACGGAACGAAAAGCCUUCUUUUAAUACAGGAGGGUCAUGACGGUACCGUAAGAAUAAGCACCGGCUAACUACGUG
RNAcentral lists this ribosomal RNA (482 nucleotides) under uncultured bacterium. RNAcentral describes it as "partial 16S ribosomal RNA". It matches the Rfam family "Bacterial small subunit ribosomal RNA", at positions 30 to 507 of the family's 1533-position model. The record is from RNAcentral.